RNAcentral lists this signal recognition particle RNA (299 nucleotides) under Cebus imitator (Panamanian white-faced capuchin). RNAcentral's name for it is "Metazoan signal recognition particle RNA (ENSCCAG00000002121.1)". It matches the Rfam family "Metazoan signal recognition particle RNA". From Rfam's summary of the family: The signal recognition particle (SRP) is a universally conserved ribonucleoprotein. It is involved in the co-translational targeting of proteins to membranes. Lineage: Eukaryota; Metazoa; Chordata; Mammalia; Primates; Cebidae. The record is from RNAcentral.
GCCGGGUGCGGUGGCGCAUGCCUGUAGUCCCAGGUACUUGGGAGGCUGAGGUGGGAGGAUCACUUGAGCACAGGAGUUCUGGGCUGUAGUGUGCUCUGCUGAUCGGGUGUCAGCACUAAGUUUGGCAUCAAUAUGGUGACCUCCUGGGAGUGGGGGACCACCAGCUUGCCUAAGGAGGUGUGAAAUGGCCCAGGUCAGAAACGGAGCAGGUCAAAACUCCCAUGGUGAUCAGUAGUGGGAUCGUGCCUGUGAAUAGCCACUGCACUCCAGCCUGGGCAACAUAGCGAGACCCUGUCUCU